AUUCAAGCCUAACUUGAGCUUUACUCAGGCAAAGCUAUUUGAAGUAAGAAGCGUCUGUAAUUUACUUGUCCAUCAGCUCUAUUCAUGAAAGCAACAAAGCCACAAUUUCUCUUCCGUCUCCGUUCUUCUGUUCGUGGCCUCAUUAUUUUCACACUGGCAAUGUGUCCAAACCUCCCAAAUGUUGUCAAAAGAAAGUUCUCGUCCACCUAACAACAUAAGCAGAGUGACAACAUGAAAAUAUAUGUAAUAUUACUAUUUGAAGACAGAAAAAGGAUACCAACCUUGGGAGAGAGAUUCCCAACAUAUAAAUUUGUUGUUUGUGGAUCUCCAUCAUCAAAUGAACCUGGAAACUUGCCGCUAGGAUCAAAAUCUUCUGGCAACUCAUCAAAAUGGCUAACAGGCUGAAGAAAAUAGUCAACCCAAUCAAGCAUGAUACCCAUAUACACAACACAAUGUAACAUGUAAUAUGAACUAUACAAAUAUAUGUCCAAUAUUCAUAAUGAAUCCUCCACUAGACCAACUCGCCCUGUAUUUAUUGCUUUCUUUAUAUUAAUCUUGACCUACACAUGUUUGUGAUUAAUAAAACAAAAAAGAAAAUUUUGUUUUUUUUA
This is a long non-coding RNA of Zingiber officinale, 611 nucleotides long. RefSeq lists it as uncharacterized. The record is from RefSeq and is a predicted model, not a curated record. The transcript is spliced from 2 exons. Lineage: Eukaryota; Viridiplantae; Streptophyta; Magnoliopsida; Zingiberales; Zingiberaceae.